Molecule: long non-coding RNA, 746 nt
Organism: Pseudophryne corroboree (corroboree frog)
Lineage: Eukaryota; Metazoa; Chordata; Amphibia; Anura; Myobatrachidae
Exons: 3
Source: RefSeq, a predicted model, not a curated record
GACCAGACUCAGUGUGUCUUCAAGUGUUCCCACAAUUCUCACCUCUCUGCACCAGAGUGAAGUAACCGAAGCGGAUCUCAAGACUUUGACAUGAGGAGUUUAGUGACAGUCUACAGCUGAGAUUCCUGGUGUGACAGACAGGGUAAUGUAUUCCCAGCUGGUGCAGAAUGGGUCAUCUUCAGACACCAAAUGAAAAAUAAAGGAAACAAUUGGAAAAUCAAUGAAGAUUUCCAGUUAUGUAUCUGCCUGUCUGAAUAUAAAUAUUACCAAAACAACUGGAACACUCCCCUUUACUUUUACUUAACCAGGAUUUGUCAGAAAAGCGAAGUUAUACAUCUAUUGCGCCAAGGAUCACAGAUAUACAACGGGUUGCAGGGAUUGUCCUUUUUUUUUUUUUUUUUGCAACAAUUGUAAAAACAGAAAUAAAUAAAAUCCAAUUUUCUGAUUAUUUAUUAUUGCCAGGAAAUCCUCCUCAAACUAAACUUGAGCCCACUAUAUUUAUUCAAGGACUAAAAGUCUUAUAGGAUUAUAAUACAAGGUUUCUUUUAAUCUGUGAUUAUAUUUUUUAUUAGAACAAUAGAUUUGUAUGCAUUCGAAGCACAUAUCCUUUACAUGACUUCAUGGGAGAUCAUUGGGGGUUACUCUACAACUGAAAUAAUUAAAUAAUAAAUGUCAAUGGUCGAAAAAAAUAUGUUGUUUUAAAUAAAUAGAUAAUUAAAAUAUCUCUGUGUUUGUAAGUGUGUAUG